RNAcentral lists this ribosomal RNA (468 nucleotides) under uncultured bacterium. RNAcentral describes it as "partial 16S ribosomal RNA". It matches the Rfam family "Bacterial small subunit ribosomal RNA", at positions 28 to 507 of the family's 1533-position model. The record is from RNAcentral.
GACGAACGCUGGCGGCGUGCUUAACACAUGCAAGUCGAACGGAAAGGCCCUGCUUUUGUGGGGUGCUCGAGUGGCGAACGGGUGAGUAACACGUGAGUAACCUGCCCUUGACUUUGGGAUAACUUCAGGAAACUGGGGCUAAUACCGGAUAGGAGCUCCUGCUGCAUGGUGGGGGUUGGAAAGUUUCGGCGGUUGGGGAUGGACUCGCGGCUUAUCAGCUUGUUGGUGGGGUAGUGGCUUACCAAGGCUUUGACGGGUAGCCGGCCUGAGAGGGUGACCGGGCACAAUGGGACUGAGAGAGGGCCCAGACUCCUACGGGAGGCAGCAGUGGGGAAUAUUGCACAAUGGGCGGAAGCCUGAUGCAGCAACGCCGCGUGCGGGAUGACGGCCUUCGGGUUGUAAACCGCUUUCGCCUGUGACGAAGCGUGAGUGACGGUAAUGGGUAAAGAAGCACCGGCUAACUACGUG